Molecule: small nucleolar RNA, 140 nt
Filed under: Sciurus vulgaris (Eurasian red squirrel)
Lineage: Eukaryota; Metazoa; Chordata; Mammalia; Rodentia; Sciuridae
Description: Small nucleolar RNA SNORA40 (ENSSVLG00005013624.1)
Rfam family: Small nucleolar RNA SNORA40
About the family: The snoRNA ACA 40 belongs to the H/ACA family of snoRNAs and guides the pseudouridylation of 28S rRNA subunit at position U4565. NB This family has a high threshold value to exclude a large number of closely related sequences that do not appear to have conserved H and ACA boxes, and may be pseudogenes.
Source: Rfam by way of RNAcentral
AGCACUUGUAUGUGUUUUUGUUUAACUUGUAGGCAAAGACUUGUAGACAAGUGCAAAAAAAAAAAAAAAAAAAAAAAAUCCUCUUUUGCAACCCAGAAUUCAUUGUUCCAUAUGACUUUUGAUACAUAAGCAGAAAUAUA